RNAcentral lists this ribosomal RNA (252 nucleotides) under uncultured prokaryote. Its description in RNAcentral is "partial 16S rRNA". It matches the Rfam family "Archaeal small subunit ribosomal RNA", at positions 475 to 726 of the family's 1478-position model. The record is from RNAcentral.
ACCGGCAGCUCAAGUGGUGGCCAUUUUUAUUGGGCCUAAAGCGUUCGUAGCCGGUUUGAUAAGUCUCUGGUGAAAUCCCGCAGCUUAACUGUGGGACUUGCUGGAGAUACUAUUAGACUUGAGGUCGGGAGAGGUUAGGGGUACUCCCAGGGUAGGGGGGGGGGGGGGGGGGGGGGGGGGGGGGACCUGUGGCGAAGGCGCCUAACUGGAACGAACCUGACGGUGAGUAACGAAAGCCAGGGGCGCGAACCG